RNA transcript from Leptonychotes weddellii (Weddell seal), 708 nucleotides. It is a transcript of the gene named neutrophil gelatinase-associated lipocalin pseudogene, with no coding region annotated. Lineage: Eukaryota; Metazoa; Chordata; Mammalia; Carnivora; Phocidae. The record is from RefSeq and is a predicted model, not a curated record.
GCACCUUUCACCGGAAUGAUUGUGGGCCAGGAGAAGCCUUAUAAAAACAAAAAUGCCAUUAAUAAUGGUGUUCGGAUAUCUGGAAGAGGAUGACCAGAAAAACGAGCCCAGUUGAAGAUGUACACCACCACCUACCAGCUGAAAGACAACGGCAGUUACAACGUCACCUCCACCCUGAUCAGGAACCAGCGCUGCGACCACUGGAUCAGAACUUUUGUCCCAAGUUCCCUGCCUGGCCAGUUCACCCUGGGCAACAUUAAGCGUUACGUCGGAGUGCAGAGCUACACCGUGCGGGUGAUGACCACCAACUACAACCAGUUUGCCAUGGUGUUCUUCAAGAAAGUUUACAAAAACCAGGAGUACUUCAAGAUCACCCUCUAUGGGAGGACCAAGCAGCUGCCCACUGCUCUGAAGGAAUACUUCACCGGCUUUGCCAAAUCCCUGGGCCUCACCGAUGACCACAUCAUCUUCCCUGUCCCCACUGACCAGUGCAUCGAUGAUAAGUGAAUGAGUAUGCGGUGUCCCCCGUCUCUCUCCACCCCAUCACCCUCACGCUGACCUCUGCCCAGGGCACCGCCCAGCUGUUCCACCAACCCGGACACCAGGAGAGAGCCCGGAGACCCUUCUCACCACACAGCCCACCAGCUGCUUCCCAGGCUGCCCUUCUGAUGGAACCCCUCCUUGCUUGCUAAAUAAACACAUGCCCCC